This 266-nucleotide signal recognition particle RNA is filed under the name Sporolactobacillus sp. THM19-2. Its description in RNAcentral is "signal recognition particle sRNA large type". It matches the Rfam family "Bacterial large signal recognition particle RNA". Rfam says of the family: The signal recognition particle (SRP) is a universally conserved ribonucleoprotein involved in the co-translational targeting of proteins to membranes. Archaeal SRP consists of a 7S RNA and homologues of the eukaryotic SRP19 and SRP54 proteins. The record is from RNAcentral. Lineage: Bacteria; Bacillati; Bacillota; Bacilli; Caryophanales; Sporolactobacillaceae.
CCGUGCUAGACGGGGAGGCAGCGGUGCCCUGUAGCCCGCAAUCCGCUAUAGCGGGGUUGAAUCCCUUUUCGAGGUCUGUGCACUGUAAGGCAGCCUUAAGUACGUGGUGUUGACGUUCAGGUCCUGCGCAACGGAAACUCGCGAACCCUGUCAGGUCCGGAAGGAAGCAGCAGUAAGUGAGACCUUUCGUGUGCCGCGGGGCUACCUGGGCUGAGCCGGCGGCUUAAGAAACGCUUAUGGCGCUCUCAUCGACAAAAGGUGCACGG